Non-coding RNA from Candidatus Peribacteria bacterium, 71 nucleotides. The record is from Rfam. Lineage: Bacteria; Candidatus Peregrinibacteriota; Candidatus Peribacteria.
CCCCUCGUAGCUCAAUGGUAGAGCAGCUGCCUUUUAAGCAGUUGACGGAAGUCCGAUUCUUCCCGGGGGGA